AGUGAACGCUGGCGGUAGGCCUAACACAUGCAAGUCGAACGGCAGCACAGUAAGAGCUUGCUCUUACGGGUGGCGAGUGGCGGACGGGUGAGGAAUACAUCGGAAUCUACUUUUUCGUGGGGGAUAACGUAGGGAAACUUACGCUAAUACCGCAUACGACCUACGGGUGAAAGCAGGGGAUCUUCGGACCUUGCGCGAUUGAAUGAGCCGAUGUCGGAUUAGCUAGUUGGCGGGGUAAGGGCCCACCAAGGCGACGAUCCGUAGCUGGUCUGAGAGGAUGAUCAGCCACACUGGAACUGAGACACGGUCCAGACUCCUACGGGAGGCAGCAGUGGGGAAUAUUGGACAAUGGGCGAAAGCCUGAUCCAGCAAUACCGCGUGGGUGAAGAAGGCCUUCGGGUUGUAAAGCUCUUUUGUUGGGAAAGAAAAGAAGCAGGUUAAUACACCGAUGUUCUGACGGUACCCAAAGAAUAAGCAACGGCUAACUUCGUG
RNAcentral lists this ribosomal RNA (492 nucleotides) under uncultured bacterium. RNAcentral's name for it is "partial 16S ribosomal RNA". It matches the Rfam family "Bacterial small subunit ribosomal RNA", at positions 29 to 507 of the family's 1533-position model. The record is from RNAcentral.